CGGACAUUAGUGGCGGACGGGUGAGUAACGCGUGAGAAUCUAGCUUCAGGUUGGGGACAACAGUUGGAAACGACUGCUAAUACCGAAUAUGCCGAGAGGUGAAAGAUUUAUUGCCUGAAGAAGAGCUCGCGUCUGAUUAGCUAGUUGGUGGGGUAAAAGCUUACCAAGGCGACGAUCGGUAGCUGGUCUGAGAGGACGAUCAGCCACACUGGGACUGAGACACGGCCCAGACUCCUACGGGAGGCAGCAGUGGGGAAUUUUCCGCAAUGGGCGAAAGCCUGACGGAGCAAUACCGCGUGAGGGAAGAAGGCUCUUGGGUUGUAAACCUCUUUUCUUAGGGAAGAAAAAAAUGACGGUACCUAAGGAAUAAGCAUCGGCUAACUCCGUGCCAGCAGCCGCGGUAAUACGGAGGAUGCAAGCGUUAUCCGGAAUGAUUGGGCGUAAAGCGUCCGCAGGUGGCAAAUCAAGUUUGCGGUUAAAGGUUCUGGCUCAACCAGAGACAGGCCGUGAAAACUGAUUAGCUAGAGUAUGGUAGGGGCAGAGGGAAUUCCCAGUGUAGCGGUGAAAUGCGUAGAGAUUGGGAAGAA
Molecule: ribosomal RNA, 587 nt
Filed under: uncultured cyanobacterium
Lineage: Bacteria; Bacillati; Cyanobacteriota
Description: bacterial SSU rRNA
Rfam family: Bacterial small subunit ribosomal RNA
Source: RNAcentral